Molecule: ribosomal RNA, 761 nt
Filed under: Coprinellus truncorum
Lineage: Eukaryota; Fungi; Basidiomycota; Agaricomycetes; Agaricales; Psathyrellaceae
Description: eukaryotic LSU rRNA
Rfam family: Eukaryotic large subunit ribosomal RNA
Source: RNAcentral
UGGCCGUCCGAGUUGUAAUCUAGAGAAGUGUUACCCGCGUCGGACCGUGUACAAGUCUCCUGGAAUGGAGCGUCAUAGAGGGUGAGAAUCCCGUCUUUGACACGGACUACCGAGGCUUUGUGGUGCGCUCUCAAAGAGUCGAGUUGUUUGGGAAUGCAGCUCAAAAUGGGUGGUAAAUUCCAUCUAAAGCUAAAUAUUGGCGAGAGACCGAUAGCGAACAAGUACCGUGAGGGAAAGAUGAAAAGAACUUUGGAAAGAGAGUUAAACAGUACGUGAAAUUGCUGAAAGGGAAACGCUUGAAGUCAGUCGCGUCCUCCGGGAAUCAGCCUUCCUUCUGGUUGGUGUACUUCCUGGUGGACGGGCCAGCAUCAGUUUUGACCGGUGGAAAAAGUUCAAGGGAAUGUGGCACCUUCGGGUGUGUUAUAGCCCUCGUUCGUAUACAUCGGUUGGGACUGAGGAACUCAGCACGCCGCAAGGCCGGGAUUCGUCCACGUUCGUGCUUAGGAUGCUGGCAUAAUGGCUUUAAUCGACCCGUCUUGAAACACGGACCAAGGAGUCUAACAUGCCUGCGAGUGUUUGGGUGGAAAACCCGAGCGCGUAAUGAAAGUGAAAGUUGAGAUCCCUGUCAUGGGGAGCAUCGACGCCCGGACCAGACGUUCUCUGACGGUUCUGCGGUAGAGCAUGUAUGUUGGGACCCGAAAGAUGGUGAACUAUGCCUGAAUAGGGUGAAGCCAGAGGAAACUCUGGUGGAGGCUCGUAGC